GGGGAAUAUUGGACAAUGGGCGAAAGCCUGAUCCAGCAAUGCCGCGUGAGUGAUGAAGGCCUUAGGGUUGUAAAGCUCUUUUACCAGGGAUGAUAAUGACAGUACCUGGAGAAUAAGCUCCGGCUAACUCCGUGCCAGCAGCCGCGGUAAUACGGAGGGAGCUAGCGUUGUUCGGAAUUACUGGGCGUAAAGCGCGCGUAGGCGGUUUUUUAAGUCAGAGGUGAAAGCCCAGUGCUCAACACUGGAACUGCCUUUGAAACUGGAAAACUUGAAUCUUGGAGAGGUCAGUGGAAUUCCGAGUGUAGAGGUGAAAUUCGUAGAUAUUCGGAAGAACACCAGUGGCGAAGGCGACUGACUGGACAAGUAUUGACGCUGAGGUGCGAAAGCGUGGGGAGCAAAC
RNAcentral lists this ribosomal RNA (400 nucleotides) under uncultured bacterium. RNAcentral describes it as "bacterial SSU rRNA". It matches the Rfam family "Bacterial small subunit ribosomal RNA", at positions 356 to 773 of the family's 1533-position model. The record is from RNAcentral.